This 1346-nucleotide ribosomal RNA is filed under the name uncultured bacterium. Its description in RNAcentral is "bacterial SSU rRNA". It matches the Rfam family "Bacterial small subunit ribosomal RNA", at positions 28 to 1381 of the family's 1533-position model. The record is from RNAcentral.
GACGAACGCUGGCGGCGUGCUUAACACAUGCAAGUCGAACGGAAAGGCCCUGCUUUUGUGGGGUGCUCGAGUGGCGAACGGGUGAGUAACACGUGAGUAACCUGCCCUUGACUUUGGGAUAACUUCAGGAAACUGGGGCUAAUACCGGAUAGGAGCUCCUGCUGCAUGGUGGGGGUUGGAAAGUUUCGGCGGUUGGGGAUGGACUCGCGGCUUAUCAGCUUGUUGGUGGGGUAGUGGCUUACCAAGGCUUUGACGGGUAGCCGGCCUGAGAGGGUGACCGGCCACAUUGGGACUGAGAUACGGCCCAGACUCCUACGGGAGGCAGCAGUGGGGAAUAUUGCACAAUGGGCGGAAGCCUGAUGCAGCAACGCCGCGUGCGGGAUGACGGCCUUCGGGUUGUAAACCGCUUUCGCCUGUGACGAAGCGUGAGUGACGGUAAUGGGUAAAGAAGCACCGGCUAACUACGUGCCAGCAGCCGCGGUGAUACGUAGGGUGCGAGCGUUGUCCGGAUUUAUUGGGCGUAAAGGGCUCGUAGGUGGUUGAUCGCGUCGGAAGUGUAAUCUUGGGGCUUAACCCUGAGCGUGCUUUCGAUACGGGUUGACUUGAGGAAGGUAGGGGAGAAUGGAAUUCCUGGUGGAGCGGUGGAAUGCGCAGAUAUCAGGAGGAACACCAGUGGCGAAGGCGGUUCUCUGGGCCUUUCCUGACGCUGAGGAGCGAAAGCGUGGGGAGCGAACAGGCUUAGAUACCCUGGUAGUCCACGCUGUAAACGGUGGGUACUAGGUGUGGGGUCCAUUCCACGGGUUCCGUGCCGUAGCUAACGCUUUAAGUACCCCGCCUGGGGAGUACGGCCGCAAGGCUAAAACUCAAAGGAAUUGACGGGGCCCCGCACAAGCGGCGGAGCAUGCGGAUUAAUUCGAUGCAACGCGUAGAACCUUACCUGGGUUUGACAUGGAUCGGGAGCGCUCAGAGAUGGGUGUGCCUCUUUUGGGGUCGGUUCACAGGUGGUGCAUGGCUGUCGUCAGCUCGUGUCGUGAGAUGUUGGGUUAAGUCCCGCAACGAGCGCAACCCUUGUUCACUGUUGCCAGCACGUUAUGGUGGGGACUCAGUGGAGACCGCCGGGGUCAACUCGGAGGAAGGUGGGGAUGACGUCAAGUCAUCAUGCCCCUUAUGUCCAGGGCUUCACGCAUGCUACAAUGGCUGGUACAGAGAGUGGCGAGCCUGUGAGGGUGAGCGAAUCUCGGAAAGCCGGUCUCAGUUCGGAUUGGGGUCUGCAACUCGACCUCAUGAAGUCGGAAUCGCUAGUAAUCGCAGAUCAGCAACGCUGCGGUGAAUACGUUCCCGGGGCU